Molecule: ribosomal RNA, 73 nt
Filed under: Escherichia coli
Lineage: Bacteria; Pseudomonadati; Pseudomonadota; Gammaproteobacteria; Enterobacterales; Enterobacteriaceae
Source: RNAcentral
CCUGGAGGCCUUAGCGCGGUGGUCCCACAUGACCCCAUGCCGAACUCAGAAGUGAAACGCCGUAGCGCCGAUG